Molecule: ribosomal RNA, 607 nt
Filed under: uncultured fungus
Lineage: Eukaryota; Fungi
Description: eukaryotic LSU rRNA
Rfam family: 5.8S ribosomal RNA (bases 228-381)
Source: RNAcentral
GGAAGUAAAAGUCGUAACAAGGUUUCCGUAGGUGAACCUGCGGAAGGAUCAUUACAGUAGUCGCCCGGGUUGCCGCAAGGCCUCCCGGGUAACCUACCACCCUUUGUUUAUUACACUUUGUUGCUUUGGCAAGCCUGCCCUCGGGCUGCUGGCUCCGGCCGGCGAGCGCUUGCCAGAGGACCUAAACUCUGUUUGUUUAUACUGUCUGAGUACUAUAUAAUAGUUAAAACUUUCAACAACGGAUCUCUUGGUUCUGGCAUCGAUGAAGAACGCAGCGAAAUGCGAUAAGUAAUGUGAAUUGCAGAAUUCAGUGAAUCAUCGAAUCUUUGAACGCACAUUGAGCCCCCUGGUAUUCCGGGGGGCAUGCCUGUCCGAGCGUCAUUACAACCCUCAAGCUCAGCUUGGUGUUGGGCCCCGCCGCCCCGGCGGGCCCUAAAGUCAGUGGCGGUGCCGUCCGGCUCCGAGCGUAGUAAUUCUUCUCGCUCUGGAGGUCCGGUCGUGUGCUCGCCAGCAACCCCCAAUUUUUUUCAGGUUGACCUCGGAUCAGGUAGGGAUACCCGCUGAACUUAAGCAUAUCAAUAAGCGGAGGAAAUCUCCAGAGGAUCGC